CCUACGGGAGGCAGCAGUCGAGAAUCAUUCACAAUGGGGGAAACCCUGAUGGUGCGACGCCGCGUGGGGGAAUGAAGGUCUUCGGAUUGUAAACCCCUGUCAUGUGGGAGCAAAUUAAAAAGAUAGUACCCCAAGAGGAAGAGACGGCUAACUCUGUGCCAGCAGCCGCGGUAAUACAGAGGUCUCAAGCGUUGUUCGGAAUCACUGGGCGUAAAGCGUGCGUAGGCUGUUUCGUAAGUCGUGUGUGAAAGGCGCGGGCUCAACCCGCGGACGGCACAUGAUACUGCGAGACUAGAGUAAUGGAGGGGGAACCGGAAUGCGAGGUGUAGCAGUGAAAUGCGUAGAUAUCGAGAGGAACACUCGUGGCGAAGGCGGGUUCCUGGACAUUAACUGACGCUGAGGCACGAAGGCCAGGGGAGCGAAAGGGAUUAGAUACCCCAGUAGUC
RNAcentral lists this ribosomal RNA (446 nucleotides) under uncultured bacterium. Its description in RNAcentral is "partial 16S ribosomal RNA". It matches the Rfam family "Bacterial small subunit ribosomal RNA", at positions 338 to 795 of the family's 1533-position model. The record is from RNAcentral.